AUGAACGCUGGCGGCGUGCCUAAUACCUGCAAGUCGAGCGAACAGACGAGGAGCUUGCUCCUCUGACGUUAGCGGCGGCCGGGUGAGUAACACGUGGAUAACCUACCUAUAAGACUGGGAUAACUUCGGGAAACCGGAGCUAAUACCGGAUAAUAUAUUGAACCGCAUGGUUCAAUAGUGAAAGACGGUUUUGCUGUCACUUAUAGAUGGAUCCGCGCCGCAUUAGCUAGUUGGUAAGGUAACGGCUUACCAAGGCGACGAUGCGUAGCCGACCUGAGAGGGUGAUCGGCCACACUGGAACUGAGACACGGUCCAGACUCCUACGGGAGGCAGCAGUAGGGAAUCUUCCGCAAUGGGCGAAAGCCUGACGGAGCAACGCCGCGUGAGUGAUGAAGGUCUUCGGAUCGUAAAACUCUGUUAUUAGGGAAGAACAAAUGUGUAAGUAACUAUGCACGUCUUGACGGUACCUAAUCAGAAAGCCACGGCUAACUACGUG
This 496-nucleotide ribosomal RNA is filed under the name uncultured bacterium. Its description in RNAcentral is "partial 16S ribosomal RNA". It matches the Rfam family "Bacterial small subunit ribosomal RNA", at positions 29 to 507 of the family's 1533-position model. The record is from RNAcentral.